Molecule: small RNA, 189 nt
Filed under: Arabidopsis thaliana (thale cress)
Lineage: Eukaryota; Viridiplantae; Streptophyta; Magnoliopsida; Brassicales; Brassicaceae
Description: ATSL171190
Source: RNAcentral
UUAAAUUGAUUAUUGUAAUGCUUGACAUUUUAGGUUUAGAUAUUUUAAGAAAAAUUCUUUCUAAUGCCCUUUUCAUGAUGCCUCUUUUCAACUCUACCCUUUUGUUUUAUUCAUUUUCAUUUCUACCCUCUUUAAAUUUUUAAUGACCAUUUUACCCCUAUUUGGAAAUUAUCUUAUGUUAACAAAAAU